Molecule: ribosomal RNA, 433 nt
Filed under: uncultured bacterium
Lineage: Bacteria
Description: partial 16S ribosomal RNA
Rfam family: Bacterial small subunit ribosomal RNA
Source: RNAcentral
AACGAACGCUGGCGGCAUGCCUAACACAUGCAAGUCGAACGAGACCUUCGGGUCUAGUGGCGCACGGGUGCGUAACGCGUGGGAACCUGCCCUUAGGUUCGGAAUAACUCCCCGAAAGGGGUGCUAAUACCGGAUAAUGUCUUGGACCAAAAGAUUUAUCGCUUUGGGUUGGGCCCGCGUUGGAUUAGCUAGUUGGUAGGGUAAAAGCCUACCAAGGCGACGAUCCAUAGCUGGUCUGAGAGGAUGAUCAGCCACACUGGGACUGAGACACGGCCCAGACUCCUACGGGAGGCAGCAGUGGGGAAUAUUGGACAAUGGGCGAAAGCCUGAUCCAGCAAUGCCGCGUGAGUGAUGAAGGCCUUAGGGUUGUAAAGCUCUUUUACCCGGGAUGAUAAUGACAGUACCGGGAGAAUAAGCUCCGGCUAACUCCGUG